RNAcentral lists this long non-coding RNA (206 nucleotides) under Salvia miltiorrhiza (redroot sage). RNAcentral's name for it is "long non-coding RNA (SMIL_LNC013837)". The record is from RNAcentral. Lineage: Eukaryota; Viridiplantae; Streptophyta; Magnoliopsida; Lamiales; Lamiaceae.
AAAAAUAUGGUACUAAUUAAAAUACGAGUUUGUACAUAAUUGAAAUAUAUGUAUAAAAAAGAAAAAAAGACUCACUAAAAUUACUCCAUUUGUUAGCAAUUUUUAGAUGAUUCAUUAGAUGAUUAUUUUAUAAAUAUUAAAUAUGCAUAUAGUCAAAAUUAUAAAAGUGUGUAUCAAAAUAAAAACACCACAUUGUAUCGUGAACG